GCCGACGUAGCUCAAUCGGCAGAGCAAUCGCCUUGUAAGCGAUAGGUUAGGGGUUCGAUUCCCCUCGUCGGCU
RNAcentral lists this transfer RNA (73 nucleotides) under Haloactinospora alba. It matches the Rfam family "tRNA". From Rfam's summary of the family: Transfer RNA (tRNA) molecules are approximately 80 nucleotides in length. Their secondary structure includes four short double-helical elements and three loops (D, anti-codon, and T loops). RNAcentral also lists the same sequence under 1 other name. The record is from Rfam by way of RNAcentral. Lineage: Bacteria; Bacillati; Actinomycetota; Actinomycetes; Streptosporangiales; Nocardiopsidaceae.